RNAcentral lists this ribosomal RNA (515 nucleotides) under Weissella confusa. RNAcentral describes it as "bacterial SSU rRNA". It matches the Rfam family "Bacterial small subunit ribosomal RNA", at positions 91 to 593 of the family's 1533-position model. The record is from RNAcentral. Lineage: Bacteria; Bacillati; Bacillota; Bacilli; Lactobacillales; Lactobacillaceae.
AAGAGUGGCGAACGGGUGAGUAACACGUGGGAAACCUACCUCUUAGCAGGGGAUAACAUUUGGAAACAGAUGCUAAUACCGUAUAACAAUGACAACCGCAUGGUUGUUAUUUAAAAGAUGGUUCUGCUAUCACUAAGAGAUGGUCCCGCGGUGCAUUAGCUAGUUGGUAAGGUAAUGGCUUACCAAGGCGAUGAUGCAUAGCCGAGUUGAGAGACUGAUCGGCCACAAUGGGACUGAGACACGGCCCAUACUCCUACGGGAGGCAGCAGUAGGGAAUCUUCCACAAUGGGCGAAAGCCUGAUGGAGCAACGCCGCGUGUGUGAUGAAGGGUUUCGGCUCGUAAAACACUGUUGUAAGAGAAGAAUGACAUUGAGAGUAACUGUUCAAUGUGUGACGGUAUCUUACCAGAAAGGAACGGCUAAAUACGUGCCAGCAGCCGCGGUAAUACGUAUGUUCCAAGCGUUAUCCGGAUUUAUUGGGCGUAAAGCGAGCGCAGACGGUUAUUUAAGUCUGAA